This 544-nucleotide long non-coding RNA is filed under the name Homo sapiens (human). Its description in RNAcentral is "non-protein coding lnc-CSRNP1-3:1". Lineage: Eukaryota; Metazoa; Chordata; Mammalia; Primates; Hominidae. The record is from RNAcentral.
AAUCGAGCGCCGAGAGAGCGAGUCGGUGCUACUGGCGUCGGGUCGGUCCGGGUAGGCGCAGCGGGACUGGACCUGGGUGCCGAGCGGAGCCGCUGCCAUGGGCCUGGGCGUCAGCGCUGAGCAGCCCGCAGGCGGCGCCGAGGGCUUCCACCUCCACGGGGAUGUGGAACCAUCUUCACCUGCUGCCCUUGCCGGCCUGCGCCCCUACACAGACUAUGUGGUUGGUUCGGACCAGAUUCUCCAGGAGGUGAGGAACCCGCAAUUUGCCCCUCCCCAGACCCUCUGGAUGUGGUGUGAAGAGAAGGGUGCUGUCCAUGAGAAGUGUCUGGUUUUGUUGAGGCUUUAGCCCUGGAAGCAGGCCUCAGGUGCUAUGCGUUUCUCACAGUCCGAGGACUUCUUUACGCUCAUCGAGUCUCAUGAGGGGAAGCCCUUGAAGCUGAUGGUGUAUAACUCCAAGUCAGACUCCUGCCGGGAGUCUGGGAUGUGGCAUUGGCUAUGGGUAUCUACACCGGAUCCCAACUCAGCCCCCCAGCUACCACAAGAA